RNAcentral lists this long non-coding RNA (608 nucleotides) under Salmo salar (Atlantic salmon). Its description in RNAcentral is "lncRNA (ENSSSAG00000095909.1)". The record is from RNAcentral. Lineage: Eukaryota; Metazoa; Chordata; Actinopteri; Salmoniformes; Salmonidae.
GUAAGGGUCUUGCACAGUUUAUGUCAAUAGCUCACAGACUUUAUAUGUAUCUCUGUCACAGGAGGUUGGUGGCACCUUAAUUGGGAGGACCAGCCCGUGGUUAUGCCUGGAGGGGAAUCGGUGGAAUGGUAUCAAACAGAUGGUUUGAUGCCAUUCCAUUUGCUCCGUUCCAGCCAUUAUUAUGAACCGUUCUCCCCUCAGCAGCCUCCACUGAUCUGUGUUUUUUCAGACAAUCAACUGUUUCUUCAUCCUUUACUACCUGCUGGAGAUGGCGCUGAAGGUGGUAGCAUUUGUCUGGACAGGAUAUGUGUCCUAUGGGAGUAACGUAUUUGAUGGAUCUCUCACAGUUCUUUCACUGGGCCUACCGAUAUCCAUAUUUGCUACUUACCGUCUGCCAUUUUCCUAUUGCACUACCGCCGACCCCAGAAUUAUGACAAUGAUUGUAAACAAAACUCUACAAUGUGGUUCUUAUGAACAGCUUGGCUGCUGGUCAAACAACUUUUAUGACUUUGCAGUGAGUAUCACUCAACUAAAGUUUGUCGUGCCUGCUCCCGCUCUUCCCCCCUGGUGUUCGACGGCAACAAGCUCCCCAGCAUUGCGCAUUCCUG